GCUCACUUUGGCAGCAUAUAACAAAAUUGGAAUGAUACAGAGAUUAGCAUGGCCCCUACACAAAGAUGACAUGCAAAUUCAUGAAGCAUUCCAUAUUUUU
This 100-nucleotide small nuclear RNA is filed under the name Propithecus coquereli (Coquerel's sifaka). Lineage: Eukaryota; Metazoa; Chordata; Mammalia; Primates; Indriidae. The record is from RNAcentral.